This 252-nucleotide ribosomal RNA is filed under the name uncultured bacterium. RNAcentral's name for it is "partial 16S ribosomal RNA". It matches the Rfam family "Bacterial small subunit ribosomal RNA", at positions 525 to 776 of the family's 1533-position model. The record is from RNAcentral.
ACGAAGGGUGCUAGCGUUAUUCGGAAUUAUUGGGCGUAAAGGGCGCGUAGGUGGCAUGUUAAGUUUGCUGUUAAAUCUUCCAGCCUAACUGGAAAACUGCAGCAAAAACUGGCAAGCUAGAGUGUAAGAGAGAGAAGUGGAAUUCUCGGAGUAGCGGUAAAAUGCGUAGAUCUCGAGAGGAACACCGAUGGCGAAGGCAGCUUCUUGGCUUACUACUGACACUGAGGCGCGAAAGCGUGGGGAGCAAACAGG